RNAcentral lists this ribosomal RNA (450 nucleotides) under uncultured bacterium. RNAcentral describes it as "partial 16S ribosomal RNA". It matches the Rfam family "Bacterial small subunit ribosomal RNA", at positions 354 to 796 of the family's 1533-position model. The record is from RNAcentral.
GUGGGGAAUAUUGGGCAAUGGGCGAAAGCCUGAACCAGCCAUGCCGCGUGUGUGAAGAAGGUCUUCGGAUUGUAAAGCACUUUAAGUUGGGAGGAAGGGCAGUAAGUUAAUACCUUGCUGUUUUGACGUUACCAACAGAAUAAGCACCGGCUAACUUCGUGCCAGCAGCCGCGGUAAUACGAAGGGUGCAAGCGUUAAUCGGAAUUACUGGGCGUAAAGCGCGCGUAGGUGGUUCAGCAAGUUGGAGGUGAAAUCCCCGGGCUCAACCUGGGAACUGCCUCCAAAACUACUGAGCUAGAGUACGGUAGAGGGUAGUGGAAUUUCCUGUGUAGCGGUGAAAUGCGUAGAUAUAGGAAGGAACACCAGUGGCGAAGGCGACUACCUGGACUGAUACUGACACUGAGGUGCGAAAGCGUGGGGAGCAAACAGGAUUAGAUACCCGGGUAGUCC